This 86-nucleotide transfer RNA is filed under the name Tigheibacillus jepli. RNAcentral describes it as "tRNA-Leu". It matches the Rfam family "tRNA". From Rfam's summary of the family: Transfer RNA (tRNA) molecules are approximately 80 nucleotides in length. The record is from RNAcentral. Lineage: Bacteria; Bacillati; Bacillota; Bacilli; Caryophanales; Bacillaceae.
GCGGGUGUGGCGGAAUCGGCAGACGCGCUAGAUUCAGGUUCUAGUGUCCAAUUACGGACGUGGGGGUUCAAGUCCCUUCACCCGCA